GGGGGGGGUCGUCCUCACUGCUGCCCUCAGGUGCUAAGAAUCCAGGAUAGCAGCCAACGGGCCCACGCAUGCGCACUGCGUUCCGCCGCGCUCACUGCUACCCUCGGCUGUCGAUAAAGUAGUACUGCACGCGUAAGGCGCACGCAUGCGCACUGGUUUUUCCAUGCUCACUGCUGCCCUCAGGUGUCGACACGCCAGUACUGCAGCCACGACUGCCCUCCCCCGCGUACAAAGAAUACUGCAGCCAGCCGGCGCGCACCGCCGAUCGCUGUGUUCGCCGUUACUCUCCGGUGCUCCGGGAACGGGGCCCCGGUUCCUCCCCAGUGCGGGCCGGGGCGCGCGCUCGCCCCUGCAGACGCAGCCUGGAGGAACGGGGAGGCAGGCGGGCCCCGGAGUGGGCUUGUGACGCGGCGUCCGCGGGAGGACGGCUCCUGUGGCGGCAGGCACACCCGAGAGUGCUGAUAAGUCCCGAGGAGGUUUAAAACCUCUGGACCGAGCAGGUUGAGUGUCAAUUUGAGUCAGGUACGAUUAGUGCAGCCCCAGGUUAUUUCCUGGAGAGCUGGGGCUAGGCAAGCAAGAAGAGGGAUAGAAGAAUGACACUCCCAGGCACCCGGAGGCCCCCCCCACUCCCAGGCAGUGUGUGGGCGCCAGCCAACGCGGGCACCGACUGACUGAAAACCCCGCUGAGCCUUGCUGAGCCCUGCUCCCUCCUGUCUGGCUGCCCCAAAGCCACAGGCUUCCCCAGUGUGGUAUGUGGUGACGGGUCCUCCGUUGCCUCUGAUGUCUCCCCGGGCAGAGGGCAGCUGCACGUAUGCUGCACAGGGGUCUGGAUGUCUCCAGCGGUGGCACAGCAGACUGAUGUCCCAAAGCCCCAAGCAAUCCUAAAACCACUCCCAGACCCAGUCCCCACAGCAGUGAGGUGUUCUGAUAAAUAUGGGGGGUGAUCUGUGCCUCCCCUUUGACUCAGUCCCACUUUAGAGAAAAGGGAAUUUACAGCACUUCUCGGUGAAGAAUGUUGACAGGUGGGUGUACAGAUGACAAACAGACUUUUCUCUCUUUUUUUCUGAGCCACCUCUUAGAAGCCUCUGUGCAUGCAAGAGGACUCUGUUAAUGCGG
RNAcentral lists this long non-coding RNA (1116 nucleotides) under Apteryx owenii (little spotted kiwi). RNAcentral describes it as "lncRNA (ENSAOWG00000005250.1)". Lineage: Eukaryota; Metazoa; Chordata; Aves; Apterygiformes; Apterygidae. The record is from RNAcentral.